This 477-nucleotide ribosomal RNA is filed under the name uncultured bacterium. RNAcentral's name for it is "bacterial SSU rRNA". It matches the Rfam family "Bacterial small subunit ribosomal RNA", at positions 31 to 507 of the family's 1533-position model. The record is from RNAcentral.
GAACGUUGGCGGCGUGCUUAUACAUGCAAGUCAACUGAAGCACCGGUAGUAAUACUGGUGUGGAGGUGGCGCACGGGUGAGUAACACGUAGGUAAUCUGCCUUCAGGUCUGACAUAACCCCGAGAAAUCGGGGCUAAUAGCAGAUGAUGCAGCGGCUUGACAUCGAGACAGUUGUUAAAGCUUCGGCGCCUGAAGAUGAGCCUGCGUCUGAUUAGCUAGUUGGCGGAGUAAUGGCCCACCAAGGCUACGAUCAGUAACUGGUCUGAGAGGAUGAUCAGUCACACUGGAACUGAGACACGGUCCAGACUCCUACGGGAGGCAGCAGUAAGGAAUAUUGCUCAAUGGGAGAAAUCCUGAAGCAGCAACGCCGCGUGAGGGAUGAAGGGCUUUUGCUCGUAAACCUCUGUAGUGAGGGAAAAAAUUUCCACUCUGUGGAAUAUGAUGGUACCUCAAAAGUAAGCCCCGGCUAACUACGUG